This 275-nucleotide ribosomal RNA is filed under the name uncultured Zavarzinella sp. RNAcentral's name for it is "partial 16S ribosomal RNA". It matches the Rfam family "Bacterial small subunit ribosomal RNA", at positions 338 to 626 of the family's 1533-position model. The record is from RNAcentral. Lineage: Bacteria; Pseudomonadati; Planctomycetota; Planctomycetia; Gemmatales; Gemmataceae.
CCUACGGGUGGCUGCAGUCGAGGAUCUUCGUCAAUGGGCGAAAGCCUGAACGAGCGAUGCCGCGUGUGCGAUGAAGGCCUUCGGGUUGUAAAGCACAAAGGGUGGGAGAAAGCCGAAAGGCGGAUCGACCAUCAGUAAGCUCGGGCUAAGUUCGUGCCAGCAGCCGCGGUAAGACGAACCGAGCGAACGUUGUUCGGAAUCACUGGGCUUAAAGGGCGCGUAGGCGGGCAUCCAAGUCCGUGGUGAAAUCCCCCAGCUCAACUGGGGAACUGCCU